CAGAACGAACGCUGGCGGCGUGCCUACACAUGCAAGUCGAGCGAGAAGUCUCCGCAAGGGGGCGAGUAAAGCGGCGCACGGGUGAGUAACACGUGGGCAAUCUACCUUAAGACCGGAACAACCCUCCGAAAGGAAAGGCUAAUACUGGAUAAGACCACGGCGGCUUCGGCUGCUGAGGUAAAAAGACGGCCUCUGUAAACAAGCUGUCACUUAAAGAGGAGCCCGCGGCCCAUCAGCUAGUUGGCGGGUAACGGCCCACCAAGGCAACGACGGGUAGCUGGUCUGAGAGGACGAUCAGCCACACUGGAACUGAGACACGGUCCAGACUCCUACGGGAGGCAGCAGUGGGGAAUUUUGCGCAAUGGGCGAAAGCCUGACGCAGCAACGCCGCGUGAGUGAAUGAAGGUCUUCGGAUCGUAAAGCUCUUUCGGCCGGGACGAAACUCGGUUGGCUAAUAUCCAACCGACUGACUGUACCGGAAGAAGAAGCACCGGCUAACUCUGUGCCAGCCGCAGC
Molecule: ribosomal RNA, 516 nt
Filed under: uncultured bacterium
Lineage: Bacteria
Description: bacterial SSU rRNA
Rfam family: Bacterial small subunit ribosomal RNA
Source: RNAcentral